Molecule: long non-coding RNA, 1665 nt
Filed under: Homo sapiens (human)
Lineage: Eukaryota; Metazoa; Chordata; Mammalia; Primates; Hominidae
Description: non-protein coding RALY-AS1:7
Source: RNAcentral
GGAAGAGACGAGGCAGGAAGAAACUCCUGGUCCUUUCGCUUUUAAGGAACGUGCCACCUAGACAAGUGUUCCAGCCUCCGGUGAACCAGUCUUCCUAGUGAGAGCACGAGAAGCCCGUUGUCCUUCAUUCCUCAGCUAUGGAUUUCCCUGAAAGUUGAGAACUGACCAUAUUCUCGAUGCCUCCUCCGACCUGUGAUUUCAUGACUCACAUCGCUUCCCCAGAACCUGCUUAACAGACGGGAUUCCUGAGAAUGGAGCAGAGUUUGAAUUCAGAGUCCUGGCUUUGCCAUACCAGCAGUUAUAAUUGUCCUUCUGUUGUUUGAUGACCUCCCUGCCCUGCUUCAAAAGGAAGAGAAAUCAAAGAGUUGACGACCCUGAGCGCAAGGCCUGGGACGUUCUUCCCCAAACUCGCUUUAAUAUCACCUUCUCAAAAGAACUCUUCCCUGAACACCUUGUCUCAAGAUGUUCUCUAGUUUGUCUUCUUGUUCUGUCAUUUAUUUGUCUGUUCAUUGUUUGUGUGUUUUUUGAGGCGGAGUCUAGCUCUGUCGCCUAGGCUGGAGUGCAGUGGCACGAUCUCGGCUCUCUGCAACCUCUGCCUCCUGGGUUCAAAGCGAUUCUUGUACCUCAGCCUCCCAAGUAGCUGGGAUUACAGGCGUGUACCACCAUGCCCGGCUAAUUUUUGUAUUUUCAGUGGAUACGGGGUUUCAUCAUGUUGGCCAAGCUGGGCUCUAACUCCUGACCUCAGGGGAUCUGCAUUUGAGGAUAAACCCUGUCUUGGCUCCUCCCUGACGGGGGUGAGAAGUAGCCCUCCUGGAAUUGCCUCAAAGCCCCCGGUUAUCACCAGUGUUCUCGGUUGCAAAUUACGAAACAUAAAUAAACUCAGACUAACAGAUGCAGCAAAGGAAUUUAUCAGGAAGGAAUGGGGAGCUCCCAGAACUGAUGGGAAGGCUGGAGAACCAGGCUCAGAAAAUGCACUGAAGUGGUGAGCGCAGAGGCUUGAAUGUUGCCAGGACUCUCCUCCCAGUCCUUUAUCUCUUCUCUCUGUAUGCGAGCUUUUCUCCUCAAGGCUAGGCACCUGGCUGCAGCAGCGCUCACCACUCACAACUCUCACCCGUUCCACCGGAGAGAGACUGAGGAUUUCUGCUUCUGGUCUGAAGGACAAAAUUUUAGGGAAAAACUUUGAUUGGUCCAACAUAGGUAAGUCCCCGUCCCUAGACCAAUCAUCUAUGGGUGGAAAACCAGGUGCUGUGACUGGCCCAACUUAAGCCAGGUGCCAUUCUCUAACCAAUACUGUGAAUAAGGAAGUGGGACGUACAGGGAGAUGGCAGCCCCAUCGGAACCAUAUGGUCAGAGAAAGAUGCAUUUCCCAAAAGAUGGAGUUCAUGCUCUGGGGCAGAUUGAAUAAUAGAUUUUCACUACACCUGCCCCAGAGUUACCCCCAACCAAUACAUUACUUACUGCCCAACUCUCAUCAUUCCUUCUCUGCUCAAAACCCUUCAAUGGGCUGGGCGCGGUAACUCACGCCUGUAAUCCCAGUACUUUGGGAGACCGAGGUGGGGGGGAUUACUUGAGGUCAGGAGUUCAAGACCGGCCUGGGCAACAUGGUGAAACCCCAUCUCUACUAAAAAUAUAAAAAUUAACCGGGCGUGGUGGCAGGCACCUGUA